RNAcentral lists this ribosomal RNA (253 nucleotides) under uncultured bacterium. RNAcentral describes it as "partial 16S ribosomal RNA". It matches the Rfam family "Bacterial small subunit ribosomal RNA", at positions 524 to 776 of the family's 1533-position model. The record is from RNAcentral.
UACGGAGGGAGCUAGCGUUGUUCGGAUAUACUGGGCGUAAAGCGCACGUAGGCGGACCUGCAAGUCGGGGGUGAAAGCCCGAGGCUCAACCUCGGAACUGCCUUCGAUACUGCGGGUCUCGAGUCCGGGAGAGGUGAGUGGAAUUCCUAGUGUAGAGGUGAAAUUCGUAGAUAUUAGGAAGAACACCAGUGGCGAAGGCGGCUCACUGGCCCGGUACUGACGCUGAGGCGCGAAAGCGUGGGGAGCAAACAGG